Molecule: long non-coding RNA, 815 nt
Filed under: Homo sapiens (human)
Lineage: Eukaryota; Metazoa; Chordata; Mammalia; Primates; Hominidae
Description: long intergenic non-protein coding RNA 1524
Source: RNAcentral
GCGCCAGGCGACUGGGUCUGAGGAGGCAGGAGUUAUUCAUUCCCUUAAGCUUUCAGGCCGGGGGGAGAAUCUUUCAGGUGGUAGCUGCAAGAACUCUUAGUAUGUUGACCUCACCUCUGCCUUCCACAUACCACUACCAGUGAGGAAUUAGGAAUGCAUGAGAAGAGUGUCCAAGAAGAGUGUCCUCAUUCAUGCAAGGCUUAAGAGAGAAUGCAGGUCAACAUCACCAUGUCAAUCAGAGAAUACUUCUGUUGGGUUGAAUGACUCUCUGCCCCCAGGAAAGAGAUCUUCAUGUAAACAGAGUCCCUCUUAUUGGCUGAAGUGAAGAGUCAUUCUGAGGCAUCUCAAGAUGAAGGUUUCCUAUUUGUGAUUAUGAAAAAAAUGUCAAGAACAAGUCCCUUGGUGUUCUUAGACCAAAGUCAGAACAACAGACCUAAACCAAUAGAGGAGCAUCCUACAAAAUAGCUGACCAGUCCUCAAAAUGAACAAGAUUUUCCAAAAUAAGGAAAGACUGAGAAACUGUCACAGUCAAGAAGAUCCUAAGGAGACGUGACUCCUAGAUUUAAUGUGGUCUCAUCAAUGGAACCCUAGAACACAAAAAGGACAUUAGGUAAAAAAAUAAGGAAGUCUAAGUAAAUUAUAGAUUUUAGUUUGUAACAAUGUAUUAAUAUUAUUUCAUUAAAUGUAACGUGGCACACUAAGAUGUUAGUAAGAGGAAAUACUGGAUGGAGGGUACAUGGGAAUUUUCUAAGAUAUCUUACAAUUUUUCUGUAAAUCUAAACUACUCUAUAAUUAAUAAAGUUGAUUUAAAGAAA